CCUACGGGAGGCAGCAGUGAGGAAUAUUGGUCAAUGGACGAGAGUCUGAACCAGCCAAGUAGCGUGAAGGAUGACUGCCCUAUGGGUUGUAAACUUCUUUUAUAUGGGAAUAAAAUGUUCCACGUGUGGGAUUUUGUAUGUACCAUAUGAAUAAGGAUCGGCUAACUCCGUGCCAGCAGCCGCGGUAAUACGGAGGAUCCGAGCGUUAUCCGGAUUUAUUGGGGUUAAAGGGAGCGUAGGUGGAUUGUUAAGUCAGUUGUGAAAGUUUGCGGCUCAACCGUAAAAUUGCAGUUGAAACUGGCAGUCUUGAGUACAGUAGAGGUGGGCGGAAUUCGUGGUGUAGCGGUGAAAUGCUUAGAUAUCACGAAGAACUCCGAUUGCGAAGGCAGCUCACUGGACUGCAACUGACGCUCAUGCACGAAAGUGUGGGUAUCGAACAGGAUUAGUACCCGAGUAGUC
This 459-nucleotide ribosomal RNA is filed under the name uncultured bacterium. RNAcentral's name for it is "partial 16S ribosomal RNA". It matches the Rfam family "Bacterial small subunit ribosomal RNA", at positions 338 to 795 of the family's 1533-position model. The record is from RNAcentral.